This 66-nucleotide transfer RNA is filed under the name Poicephalus senegalus (Senegal parrot). RNAcentral describes it as "tRNA-Cys". Lineage: Eukaryota; Metazoa; Chordata; Aves; Psittaciformes; Psittacidae. The record is from RNAcentral.
GAUUCCGUAGUGAAGUUCAUGUUGAGUUGCAAGCUCUUCGAUAUGUGCUAGAGGCACAUCGGGAUC